UCCUAAGAAAAGCUUCCACUCACCGCCGCCACCUCCUCAAUUCACACCGCCUAUGAUACCACAGCACUCACCGCCUCCACCGCAACAGCCUCCUCCACCGACACCAGUGAAUUCACCACCUCCUCCUCCACCAGUUCACUCCCCACCUCCUCCACCAGUUCACUCCCCACCUCCUCCUCCACCAGUUCACUCCCCACCUCCUCCACCAGUUCACUCCCCACCUCCUCCGUUUUACUCACCUCCACCGCCGGCAGCGUCGCCUCCGCCACCACCAGUGCACUCACCUCCGCCACCAACAGCAUCUCCUCCUCCGCCGCCACCAAAAGCAUCUCCGCCACCACCGCCGCCAGUCUUCUCUCCCCCCCCACCUGUCCAUGCAUCCCCGCCACCGAUCUUAUCGGCUCCUUCACCAGCGCCCGUCUCCUCUUCCCCGCCGCCGGA
Molecule: long non-coding RNA, 441 nt
Filed under: Ananas comosus (pineapple)
Lineage: Eukaryota; Viridiplantae; Streptophyta; Magnoliopsida; Poales; Bromeliaceae
Description: long non-coding RNA (ACOM_LNC032643)
Source: RNAcentral